UACGUAGGGUGCAAGCGUUGUCCGGAAUUAUUGGGCGUAAAGAGCUCGUAGGCGGUCUGUCGCGUCUGCUGUGAAAACUCAGGGCUUAACCCUGAGCUUGCAGUGGGUACGGGCAGACUAGAGUGCGGUAGGGGAGACUGGAAUUCCUGGUGUAGCGGUGAAAUGCGCAGAUAUCAGGAGGAACACCGGUGGGCGAAGGCGGAUCUCUGGGCCUUACCUGACGCUGGAGGCGACGAAAGCUAGGGGAGCGAACAGG
Molecule: ribosomal RNA, 256 nt
Filed under: uncultured bacterium
Lineage: Bacteria
Description: partial 16S ribosomal RNA
Rfam family: Bacterial small subunit ribosomal RNA
Source: RNAcentral